Molecule: ribosomal RNA, 192 nt
Filed under: Triticum aestivum (bread wheat)
Lineage: Eukaryota; Viridiplantae; Streptophyta; Magnoliopsida; Poales; Poaceae
Description: partial small subunit ribosomal RNA
Source: RNAcentral
AUGGCGGCGACCGCGACGACGUUGAUGAGGAUGGUGCUGCUGGUGGUGCUCUUGGUGCAGAUGCUCAACGUCAUGACCGUCUCGGCGAGGACGUUGAAGGGGGACGCCUGGCUCAAGGACGGCAUCGGGAUGGUGAUGGAGAUGCUCGGCGACCUGAAAUCAGGCUCCAGCCCUCCCACGCACUGCUGCUAA